AGUUAAUUAAUUAAGACAAAAUUAUGUUUUGAAAGCAUAUAUAAGAGGUUAAAUUCCUCUAUUAACUU
Molecule: transfer RNA, 68 nt
Filed under: Rhabdoblatta marginata
Lineage: Eukaryota; Metazoa; Arthropoda; Insecta; Blattodea; Blaberidae
Description: tRNA-Ser
Rfam family: tRNA
About the family: Transfer RNA (tRNA) molecules are approximately 80 nucleotides in length. Their secondary structure includes four short double-helical elements and three loops (D, anti-codon, and T loops).
Source: RNAcentral